AUGUCGCAAGCGUUAUCCGGAUUUAUUGGGCGUAAAGCGCGUCUAGGUGGUUUGGUAAGUCUGAUGUGAAAAUGCGGGGCUCACCUCCGUAUUGCGUUGGAAACUGUCAAACUAGAGUACUGGAGAGGUGGGCGGAACUACAAGUGUAGAGGUGAAAUUCGUAGAUAUUUGUAGGAAUGCCGAUGGAGAAGUCAGCCCACUGGACAGAUACUGACGCUGAAGCGCGAAAGCGUGGGUAGCAAA
RNAcentral lists this ribosomal RNA (243 nucleotides) under uncultured bacterium. Its description in RNAcentral is "partial 16S ribosomal RNA". It matches the Rfam family "Bacterial small subunit ribosomal RNA", at positions 529 to 772 of the family's 1533-position model. The record is from RNAcentral.